UACGUAGGGCGCAAGCGUUGUCCGGAAUUAUUGGGCGUAAAGAGCGUGUAGGCGGCCAUACAGGUCAGCUGUGAAAACUCGAGGCUCAACCUCGAGACGUCGGUUGAAACCGUAUGGCUAGAGUCCGGAAGAGGAGUGUGGAAUUCCCGGUGUAGCGGUGAAAUGCGCAGAUAUCGGGAAGAACACCCGUGGCGAAGGCGGCACUCUGGGACGGUACUGACGCUGAGACGCGAAAGCGUGGGGAGCGAACAGG
This 253-nucleotide ribosomal RNA is filed under the name uncultured bacterium. RNAcentral's name for it is "partial 16S ribosomal RNA". It matches the Rfam family "Bacterial small subunit ribosomal RNA", at positions 524 to 776 of the family's 1533-position model. The record is from RNAcentral.